GAUGAACGCUGGCGGCGUGCCUAAUACAUGCAAGUCGAGCGAACAGACGAGGAGCUUGCUCCUCUGACGUUAGCGGCGGACGGGUGAGUAACACGUGGAUAACCUACCUAUAAGACUGGGAUAACUUCGGGAAACCGGAGCUAAUACCGGAUAAUAUAUUGAACCGCAUGGUUCAAUAGUGAAAGACGGUUUUGCUGUCACUUAUAGAUGGAUCCGCGCCGCAUUAGCUAGUUGGUAAGGUAACGGCUUACCAAGGCAACGAUGCGUAGCCGACCUGAGAGGGUGAUCGGCCACGCUGGAACUGAGACACGGUCCAGACUCCUACGGGAGGCAGCAGGAGGGAAUCUUCCGCAAUGGGCGAAAGCCUGACGGAGCAACGCCGCGUGAGUGAUGAAGGUCUUCGGAUCGUAAAACUCUGUUAUUAGGGAAGAACAAAUGUGUAAGUAACUAUGCACGUCUUGACGGUACCUAAUCAGAAAGCCACGGCUAACUACGU
RNAcentral lists this ribosomal RNA (496 nucleotides) under uncultured bacterium. Its description in RNAcentral is "partial 16S ribosomal RNA". It matches the Rfam family "Bacterial small subunit ribosomal RNA", at positions 28 to 506 of the family's 1533-position model. The record is from RNAcentral.